RNAcentral lists this ribosomal RNA (483 nucleotides) under uncultured bacterium. RNAcentral describes it as "partial 16S ribosomal RNA". It matches the Rfam family "Bacterial small subunit ribosomal RNA", at positions 28 to 507 of the family's 1533-position model. The record is from RNAcentral.
GAUGAACGCUAGCGGCAGGCCUAAUACAUGCAAGCCGAACGGCAAGUUUGAUAGCAAUAUUGGACCUAGAGUGGCGCACGGGUGCGUAACACGUGUGCAACCUGCCCUCGACAGGAGGAUAGCUCCCCGAAAGGGGAAUUAACCCUCCAUAACACCAUGAGAAGGCUUGUGAUUAUGGGUAAACCGCAGGGGGUCGCGGAGGGGCAGGUGGUUGAGUAGCUAGUUGGGGGGGUAAAGGCUCACCAGGGCGGUGAUGAAUAGGGGUUCUGAGAGGUAGGGCCCGCGAGCUGGAACUGAGACACGGGGCAGACGCCUACGGGAGGCCGCAGUAGGGAAGAAUGGACAAGGGUUGCAACACUGAUCCAGGCAUGCCGAGUGAAGGAAGCAGGCCUUCUGGGGCGUAACCUGCGUUUGCCUGCGGAUAAAACACCCGUGCGAGGGGAAUUGAAGGUAACAGGUGAAGAAGCAACGGCUAACUACGUG